Long non-coding RNA from Panthera uncia (snow leopard), 383 nucleotides. RefSeq lists it as uncharacterized. The transcript has 2 exons. The record is from RefSeq and is a predicted model, not a curated record. NCBI's taxonomy places the organism in Eukaryota, Metazoa, Chordata, Mammalia, Carnivora, Felidae.
GUUAGAGUGGGAGAGAGCCAAAGCAUAAGAGUCUGUUAAAAACCAUACAGAGAAAGACAGAUACCAUAUAGUUUCACUCUUAUGUGGAUCCUGAGAAACUUAACAGAAACCCAUGGGGGAGGGGAAGGAAAAAAAAAAAAAAGAGGUUAGAGUGGGAGAGAGCCAAAGCAUAAGAGACUCUUAAAAACUGAGAACAAACUGAGGGUUGAUGGGGGGUGGGAGGGAGGGAAGGGUGGUUGAGAGUAUUGAAAGGGUAUCUUUUGGGAUGAGCACUGGGUGUUGUAUGGAAACCAUUUUGACAAUAAAUCUCAUAUAUUAUAAAAAAAUUAAAAAAAGAAAAACUGUGUGCCAACAAAUUAGACAACCUAAAAGAAAUGAAUAAA